This 506-nucleotide ribosomal RNA is filed under the name uncultured bacterium. RNAcentral's name for it is "partial 16S ribosomal RNA". It matches the Rfam family "Bacterial small subunit ribosomal RNA", at positions 29 to 523 of the family's 1533-position model. The record is from RNAcentral.
AGUGAACGCUGGCGGUAGGCCUAACACAUGCAAGUCGAACGGCAGCACAGGAGAGCUUGCUCUCUGGGUGGCGUGUGGCGGACGGGUGAGGAAUACAUCGGAAUCUACUUUUUCGUGGGGGAUAACGUAGGGAAACUUACGCUAAUACCGCACACGACCUACGGGUGAAAGCAGGGGACCUUCGGGCCUUGCGCGAUUGAAUGAGCCGAUGUCGGAUUAGCUAGUUGGCGGGGUAAAGGCCCACCAAGGCGACGAUCCGUAGCUGGUCUGAAAGGAUGAUCAGCCACACGGGAACUGAGACACGGUCCAGACUCCUACGGGAGGCAGCAGUGGGGAGUAUUGGACAAUGGGCGCAAGCCUGAUCCAGCCAUACCGCGUGGGUGAAGAAGGCCUUCGGGUUGUAAAGCCCUUUUGUUGGGAAAGAAAUCCAGCUGGCUAAUACCCGGUUGGGAUGACGGUACCCAAAGAAUAAGCACCGGCUAACUUCGUGCCAGCAGCCGCGGUAA